AUUCCAGCUCCAAUAGCGUAUAUUAAAGUUGUUGCAGUUAAAAAGCUCGUAGUUGGAUUUCUGUUCUCGAGGAUCGGUCCGCCUCACGGUGAGCACUGGUUUUUCUUGGGGACAUCCUCUCGAAGGCGGGUGGUGCACUUAAUUGUGUGCUGCUUGGAUUCGGGACCUUUACUUUGAAAAAAUUAGAGUGUUCAAAGCAGGCGUCGGCUUGAAUACAUUAGCAUGGAAUAAUGGAAUAGGACUUUGGUUCUAUUUUGUUGGUUUCUAGGACCGAAGUAAUGAUUAAUAGGGACAGUUGGGGGCAUUUGUAUUCAAACGACAGGGGUGAAAUUCUUGGACCGUUUGAAGACAAACUACUGCGAAAGCAUUUGCCAAGAAUGUUUUCAUUA
Molecule: ribosomal RNA, 389 nt
Filed under: Choanoflagellata sp.
Lineage: Eukaryota; Choanoflagellata
Description: partial small subunit ribosomal RNA
Rfam family: Eukaryotic small subunit ribosomal RNA
Source: RNAcentral